GGUCGAAAACGAUAGGGUCGUGGUGGUGGUGGUAGUGGUCGGAGAAGUUGAAAGUAGAACGGAGCUUGAGACGGCGGUGACGUUGGUUAGAGGGCUUGGAAGGGUUGCGAGAGAUAAGGAGAAGGAAGAGAAAAGCUAAAGUAAGGUAAAUNNNNNNNNNNUGGGCAUUGUUUUAGAUCUAAGAGAGAAGAAAGAGGAUUUUAGUUCAGAAGACACAGAGAGAGUUUGAC
Molecule: unclassified non-coding RNA, 230 nt
Filed under: Hevea brasiliensis (rubber tree)
Lineage: Eukaryota; Viridiplantae; Streptophyta; Magnoliopsida; Malpighiales; Euphorbiaceae
Source: RNAcentral